This 229-nucleotide unclassified non-coding RNA is filed under the name plant metagenome. Its description in RNAcentral is "partial contains small subunit ribosomal RNA, internal transcribed spacer 1, and 5.8S ribosomal RNA". The record is from RNAcentral.
UCUCCGUAGGUGAACCUGCGGAGGGAUCAUUACAGAGUUCGUGCCCUCACGGGUAGAUCUCCCACCCUAUGUUAUUAUUACUUUGUUGCUUUGGCGGGCCGUUAGGCUCCGGCCCGACUACCGGCCCCGGCUGGUAAGCGCCCGCCAGAGGACCCAAAACCCUGAAUAUUAGUGUCGUCUGAGUACUAUAUAAUAGUUAAAACUUUCAACAACGGAUCUCUUGGUUCUG